This 379-nucleotide ribosomal RNA is filed under the name uncultured bacterium. Its description in RNAcentral is "partial 16S ribosomal RNA". It matches the Rfam family "Bacterial small subunit ribosomal RNA", at positions 338 to 710 of the family's 1533-position model. The record is from RNAcentral.
CCUACGGGUGGCAGCAGUAGGGAAUUUUCGGCAAUGGGGGGAACCCUGACCGAGCAACGCCGCGUGAAGGAUGAAGGAAUUCGUUCUGUAAACUUCUGUUAUAAAGGAAGUAAGACGCAUGAUGGAUAUUACAUCCGAGGUACGGUACUUUAUGAGAAAGGCACGGCUAACUACGUGCCCGCAGCCGCGGAGAUACGUGGGUGGCAAGCGGUAUCCGGAAGUAUUGGGCGAAAAGAGGGAGCGGGCGGCAGUAAAGGUCUGUGGUAAAGGUGUGAAGCUAAACGUAAGUAAGCCAUAGAGACUGGGAAGCUAGAGUGCAGUAGAGGUUGGUGGAAUUCGUGGUGUAGCGGUGAAAUGCGUAGAUAUAUGGAGGAACACC